GGAAAGAAAUCAUAGACUAUUCAGUGGCUCAACAAAUACUCUUCCUCAAUUGUUGGAUAAGAUCAAAUUGUUUUCCUAUUGGUGGUUGAAGUCGACGAGUGUGACUUUAGCCUCAAACUAUCAUAGCUGGUGGUCUAAUCCUUUAUUUUGUUUGGGCCUUGUAUGAUCUGUUUAUGGUUUUUUUUUUCUUGACUCUUUGUAAUUAUUUAUAGUCGAUUUUUGUACACCUUGUACUGGAUAGACUAUUUUAUUAAUAUAUAUCUCAUUUUGACUUGUUAAAAAAAA
Molecule: long non-coding RNA, 285 nt
Filed under: Trifolium pratense (red clover)
Lineage: Eukaryota; Viridiplantae; Streptophyta; Magnoliopsida; Fabales; Fabaceae
Description: long non-coding RNA (TPRA_LNC010097)
Source: RNAcentral